Molecule: ribosomal RNA, 119 nt
Filed under: Cajanus cajan (pigeon pea)
Lineage: Eukaryota; Viridiplantae; Streptophyta; Magnoliopsida; Fabales; Fabaceae
Source: RNAcentral
AGGUGCGAUCAUACCAGCACUAAUGCACCGGAUCCCAUUAGAACUCGGCAGUUAAGCGUGCUUGGGCAAGAGUAGUACUAGGAUGGGUGACCUCCAAGGAAGUCCUCGUGUUGCACCUC